GUCCCAGUUCGGACUGGAGCUGCAACCCGGCUCCACGAAGUUGGAUUCGCUAGUAAUCGCGCAUCAGCCAUGGCGCGGUGAAUACGUUCCCGGGCCUUGUACACACCGCCCGUCAAGCCAUGGGAGCCGGGGGCGCCUGAAGUCCGGGACCGCGAGGACCGGCCUAGGGCGAAACUGGUAACUGGGCUAAGUCGUAACAAGGUAGC
This 206-nucleotide ribosomal RNA is filed under the name uncultured bacterium. RNAcentral describes it as "partial 16S ribosomal RNA". It matches the Rfam family "Bacterial small subunit ribosomal RNA", at positions 1285 to 1500 of the family's 1533-position model. The record is from RNAcentral.